RNAcentral lists this ribosomal RNA (889 nucleotides) under uncultured Methanosaeta sp. RNAcentral's name for it is "bacterial SSU rRNA". It matches the Rfam family "Archaeal small subunit ribosomal RNA", at positions 18 to 908 of the family's 1478-position model. The record is from RNAcentral. Lineage: Archaea; Methanobacteriati; Methanobacteriota; Methanomicrobia; Methanotrichales; Methanotrichaceae.
CUGAGGUUACUGCUAUCGAGAUUCGACUAAGCCAUGCGAGUUGAAUGUUCUUCGUGAACAUGGCGGACUGCUCAGUAACACGUGGACAACCUACCCUUGGGUCCGGCAUAAUCCUGGGAAACUGGGAAUAAUUCCGGAUAGGUCACCGAUGCUGGAAUGCGCGGUGGCCGAAAGCUCCGGCGCCCGAGGAUGGGUCUGCGGCCUAUCAGGGUUGUAGUGGGUGUAACGUACCUACUAGCCUACGACGGGUACGGGUUGUGAGAGCAAGAGCCCGGAGAUGGAUUCUGAGACACGAAUCCAGGCCCUACGGGGUGCAGCAGGCGCGAAAACUUUACAAUGCGGGAAACCGUGAUAAGGGGAUCUCGAGUGCCAGCAUAUAAUGUUGGCUGUCCAGAUGCCUAAAAAGCAUCUGUUAGCAAGGGCCGGGCAAGACCGGUGCCAGCCGCCGCGGUAACACCGGCGGCCCGAGUGGUAACCGCUAUUAUUGGGUCUAAAGGGUCUGUAGCCGGCCAGGUAAGUCCCUUGGGAAAUCUGGCAGCUCAACUGUCAGGCUGCUAGGGGAUACUGUUUGGCUUGGGACCGGGAGAGGUGAGAGGUACCUUGGGGGUAGGGGUGAAAUCUUGUGAUCCUCGAGGGACCACCAGUGGCGAAGGCGUCUCACCAGAACGGGUCCGACGGUAAGGGACGAAAGCUAGGGGCACGAACCGGAUUAGAUACCCGGGUAGUCCUAGCCGUAAACGAUGCUCGCUAGGUGUCAGUCACGGUGCGACCGUGAUUGGUGCCGUAGGGAAGCCGUGAAGCGAGCCACCUGGGAAGUAUGGCCGCAAGGCUGAAACUUAAAGGAAUUGGCGGGGGAGCACUACAACSGGKGSAGCCUGCGGUUUAAUUG